UACCAGCACCCCGAGUUGUUGGGACGAUUAUUGGGCCUAAAGCAUCCGUAGCCUGUUCUGCAAGUCCUCCGUUAAAUCCACCUGCUUAACAGAUGGGCUGCGGAGGAUACUAUGGAGCUAGGAGGCGGGAGAGGCAAGCGGUACUUAGUGGGUAGGGGUAAAAUCCGUUGAUCCAUUGAAGACCACCAGUGGCGAAGGCGGCUUGCCAGAACGCACUCGACGGUGAGGGAUGGAAGCUGGGGGAGCAAACCGG
Molecule: ribosomal RNA, 253 nt
Filed under: uncultured bacterium
Lineage: Bacteria
Description: partial 16S ribosomal RNA
Rfam family: Archaeal small subunit ribosomal RNA
Source: RNAcentral